GACGCGAUAGCGCAGUCGUUAAGUGGGCUUGACUUGGGAUCAAAAGGUCCUGGGUUCAAGCCCUGGCCACGGCC
This is a non-coding RNA of Gymnothorax javanicus (giant moray), 74 nucleotides long. The record is from the annotation of a GenBank genome assembly. NCBI's taxonomy places the organism in Eukaryota, Metazoa, Chordata, Actinopteri, Anguilliformes, Muraenidae.